This 251-nucleotide ribosomal RNA is filed under the name uncultured Chryseobacterium sp. Its description in RNAcentral is "partial 16S ribosomal RNA". It matches the Rfam family "Bacterial small subunit ribosomal RNA", at positions 526 to 776 of the family's 1533-position model. The record is from RNAcentral. Lineage: Bacteria; Pseudomonadati; Bacteroidota; Flavobacteriia; Flavobacteriales; Weeksellaceae.
CGGAGGGUGCAAGCGUUAUCCGGAUUUAUUGGGUUUAAAGGGUCCGUAGGCGGAUCUGUAAGUCAGUGGUGAAAUCUCAUAGCUUAACUAUGAAACUGCCAUUGAUACUGCAGGUCUUGAGUAAGGUAGAAGUGGCUGGAAUAAGUAGUGUAGCGGUGAAAUGCAUAGAUAUUACUUAGAACACCAAUUGCGAAGGCAGGUCACUAUGUCUUAACUGACGCUGAUGGACGAAAGCGUGGGGAGCGAACAGG